RNAcentral lists this transfer RNA (72 nucleotides) under Moorena sp. SIO3I8. RNAcentral describes it as "tRNA-Ile". It matches the Rfam family "tRNA". Rfam says of the family: Transfer RNA (tRNA) molecules are approximately 80 nucleotides in length. Their secondary structure includes four short double-helical elements and three loops (D, anti-codon, and T loops). RNAcentral also lists the same sequence under 2 other names. Lineage: Bacteria; Bacillati; Cyanobacteriota; Cyanophyceae; Coleofasciculales; Coleofasciculaceae. The record is from RNAcentral.
AGCAGCGUAGCUCAAAGGUAGAGCACCUGGCUCAUAACCAGGAGAGUGCGGGUUCGAGUCCCGCCGCUGCGA